CACGCCGUAAACGAUGUUCACUAGGUGUUGGGGGUAUUGACCCCCUCAGUGCCGCAGUUAACGCAUUAAGUGAACCGCCUGGGGAGUACGGUCGCAAGACUAAAACUCAAAGGAAUUGACGGGGGCCCGCACAAGCGGUGGAGUAUGUGGUUUAAUUCGAUGCAACGCGAAGAACCUUACCUGGGCUUGACAUCCCGGGAACCCUCUGGAAACAGAGGGGUGCCCUUCGGGGAACCCGGAGACAGGUGC
This 249-nucleotide ribosomal RNA is filed under the name uncultured Syntrophaceae bacterium. Its description in RNAcentral is "partial 16S ribosomal RNA". It matches the Rfam family "Bacterial small subunit ribosomal RNA", at positions 796 to 1041 of the family's 1533-position model. The record is from RNAcentral. Lineage: Bacteria; Pseudomonadati; Thermodesulfobacteriota; Syntrophia; Syntrophales; Syntrophaceae.